RNAcentral lists this ribosomal RNA (433 nucleotides) under uncultured bacterium. RNAcentral describes it as "partial 16S ribosomal RNA". It matches the Rfam family "Bacterial small subunit ribosomal RNA", at positions 29 to 507 of the family's 1533-position model. The record is from RNAcentral.
AACGAACGCUGGCGGCAUGCCUAACACAUGCCAGUCGAACGAGACCUUCGUGUCUUGUGGCGGUCGGGUACGUACCGCGUGGGAACCUGCCCUUAGGUUCGGAAUACCUGCCCUAAGGGGGUGCUAAUACCGCUUAAUCUCAUCGCACCAAAGACUUAUCGCUUUUGGAUGGGCGCGCGUUGGUUUCGCGAGUUGGUAGGGUAAAAGCCUACCAACGCGACGAUGCAUAGCUGGUCUGUUAGCAUGAUCAGCCAGACUGGGACUGAGGCCCGGCCCAGAACCGGAGGGAGGGGAGCAGUGUGGAAUAUUGGACGAGGGGCGAUAGCCUGAUCCAGCAACGCCGCGGGAGAGAGGAAGGGCGUAGGGUUGUAAAGCUCUUUGUCCCGGGACGUGAAUGACAGUACCGGGAGAAGAAGCUCCGGCUAACUCCGUG